GAUGAAGAACGCAGCGAAAUGCGAUAAGUAGUGUGAAUUGCAGAAUUCAGUGAAUCAUCGAAUCUUUGAACGCACAUUGCGCCCUUUGGUAUUCCUUAGGGCAUGCCUGUUCGAGCGUCAUUUAAACCUUCAAGCUAAGCUUGGUGUUGGGUGACUGUCCGCUUCACGGCGGACUCGCCUCAAAAUUAUUGGCGGCCGGUACAUUGGCUUCGAGCGCAGCAGAAACGCGAACUCGGGCCCGUCGUAUUGGCUCCCAGAAGCUAUCUUCACAAUUUUGACCUCGGAUCAGGUAGGGAUACCCGCUGAACUUAAGCAUAUCAAAUAAGCGGAGGA
This 333-nucleotide unclassified non-coding RNA is filed under the name soil metagenome. RNAcentral describes it as "partial contains 5.8S ribosomal RNA, internal transcribed spacer 2, and large subunit ribosomal RNA". The stretch from base 1 to 120 matches the Rfam family "5.8S ribosomal RNA", at positions 35 to 154 of the family's 154-position model. The record is from RNAcentral.